This 230-nucleotide ribosomal RNA is filed under the name uncultured bacterium. Its description in RNAcentral is "partial 16S ribosomal RNA". It matches the Rfam family "Bacterial small subunit ribosomal RNA", at positions 118 to 346 of the family's 1533-position model. The record is from RNAcentral.
UGGGCAACCUGCCCCAGACUCAGGGAUAACCCCCGGGGAAACCGGGGCUAAUACCCGAUACUCCGAUCGAACCACAUGGCUCGAUCGGGAAAGCUCCGACGGUCUGGGAUGGGCCCGCGGCCUAUCAGCUUGUUGGUGGGGUAACGGCCUACCAAGGCGACGACGGGUAGCUGGUCUGAGAGGACGACCAGCCACACUGGAACUGAGAUACGGUCCAGACUCCUACGGGA